CCUACGGGAGGCAGCAGUGGGGGAUAUUGGACAAUGGGGGGAACCCUGAUCCAGCGACGCCGCGUGAGUGAAGAAGUAUUUCGGUAUGUAAAGCUCUGUCAGCAGGGAAGAAAGAAAUGACGGUACCUGACCAAGAAGCCCCGGCUAACUACGUGCCAGCAGCCGCGGUAAUACGUAGGGGGCAAGCGUUAUCCGGAAUUACUGGGUGUAAGGGGAGCGUAGACGGUUAAGUAAGUCUGGAGUGAAAGGCCGGGGCCCAACCCCGGGACUGCUCUGGAAACUAUUGAACUUGAGUGCAGGUGAGGUAAGCGGAAUGCCUAGUGUAGCGGUGAAAUGCGUAGAUAUUAGGAGGAACACCAGUUGCGAAGGCGGCUUACUGGACUGUAACUGACGUUGAGGCUCGAAAGCGUGGGGAGCAAACAGGAUUAGAUACCCGGGUAGUC
Molecule: ribosomal RNA, 443 nt
Filed under: uncultured bacterium
Lineage: Bacteria
Description: partial 16S ribosomal RNA
Rfam family: Bacterial small subunit ribosomal RNA
Source: RNAcentral